Molecule: long non-coding RNA, 845 nt
Organism: Oncorhynchus tshawytscha (Chinook salmon)
Lineage: Eukaryota; Metazoa; Chordata; Actinopteri; Salmoniformes; Salmonidae
Exons: 3
Source: RefSeq, a predicted model, not a curated record
UACAGUAAAAUAAUGGCUCAAUGUGUUUCAGUCUCCAGGUUCACGUCUCCUCCAUUACAGUAAAAUAAUGUCUCAAUGUGUUUCAGUCUCCAGGUUAACGUCUCCUCCAUUACAGUAAAAUAAUAUAAAUGUGUGUUUCAGUCUCCAGGUUAACGUCUCCUCCAUUACAGUAAAAUAAUAUAAAUGUGUGUUUCAGUCUCCAGGUUAACGUCUCCUCCAUUACAGUAAAAUAAUAUAAAUGUGUGUUUCAGUCUCCAGGUUAACAUCUCCUCCAUUACAGUAAAAUAAUAUAAAUGUGUUUCAGUCUCCAGGUUAACGUCUCCUCCAUUACAGUAAAAUAAUAUAAAUGUGUGUUUCAGUCUCCAGGUUAACGUCUCCUCCAUUACAGUAAAAUAAUGUCUCAAUGUGUUUCAGUCUCCAGGUUAACGUCUCCUCCAUUACAGUAAAAUAAUGUCUCAAUGUGUUUCAGUCUCCAGGUUAACGUCUCCUCCAUUACAGUAAAAUAAUGUCUCAAUGUGUUUCAGUCUCCAGGUUAACGUCUCCUCCAUUACAGUAAAAUAAUGUCUCAAUGUGUUUCAGUCUCCAGGUUAACGUCUCCUCCAUUACAGUAAAAUAAUGUCUCAAUGUGUUUCAGUCUCCAGGUUAACGUCUCCUCCAUUACAGUAAAAUAAUGUCUCAAUGUGUUUCAGUCUCCAGGUUAACGUCUCCUCCAUUACAGUAAAAUAAUGUCUCAAUGUGUUUCAGUCUCCAGGUUAACGUCUCCUCCAUUACAGUAAAAUAAUGUCUCAAUGUGUUUCAGUCUCCAGGUUAACGUCUCCUCCAUUACAGUAAAAUAAUGUCUCAAU